This is a long non-coding RNA of Oreochromis niloticus (Nile tilapia), 2982 nucleotides long. The record is from Ensembl. NCBI's taxonomy places the organism in Eukaryota, Metazoa, Chordata, Actinopteri, Cichliformes, Cichlidae.
AAAACUACCUGUGGUCUGAUUCUUUGGUGAAAGUACAUCAGGAAAGAUAAUUAUUAACUCAAUAAAUCUGAACUCUGACUCAUAUCUGUCUGUGCUAUCACAAUGGGUUAAAAGGUAGUGAUAGUAAAGUUGACUGUACUGAAGAAACAAGACUGAUUUCUAACCUGUGCCAGUACCCUAGGGUGGCUGCGGAUGACCCAGGUCUUUCUCUGUCUGCCUCUGGUUCCAGGAGGCAUUAUUAAUUAAGUAUAAUAUUAAGUAUAUCUUGUGACACAUGUACAACACAGCAGGAUUGUUGAUGUGUGUAGGACUGCUGUAUGACACUUCAGCUCACCUCAUUAUAUACUCUACCUUUAACUCUUGUGCCCAUGGGCUUUAUGUCAGAACUUGUUGGUGUGGAAAAAGAUUUCUGAAGUUUGAUUUUUGUUUUUAAUCAGUUUGCAAUGAAAACAUAUGUUUGCCUUUGCAGUGUUACACCAUUCAUGGUUUGGAGUUAUCCAGAGUGACGGUCAACUCGAGUCAGCUAAUUCUAUACGACACCUUGGAUUAAACCUGAAAAUGAAGUCAUUGACUAUAACACCAGCUGCUCCACGGGAUGGUGGUGGAUACAUCGGUAGUCUUUCCCCACCGUCUGGGCCCCCCUCACAAACUGACCCUGAACAAGCUCACAGCUGAAUACCUCAGAAGGAUCAUUCAAGAGAGUGGUGGGUUACCACCAUGCAAAUGGUUUAUCCGUUAUUAUAAUAUCAUUACAUUCCAAAUAAAGAUGACUUAUUAAUAUGACUUAUAACAUUGAAUGCCACAGACUCGUGCAGCAGAUAUCAGAUUUAUUUCUGAAGAUGUUGAUUUCAAUUGCAUUGAAAUUUUAAAAAAUGAUUUCCCCCCCCCUUAGUUUGUGGUCAUGACACUGCAGAAGAUGCUACUGCCUGUAUGGAGCUGAUGCUGUGGAAAGUGAAAGAAGAUGGAAAAUUGAAAAAAUGAUGAAAAUAAAAUUAUUCCUGUACAAUUCAUAUGGGGGGAGGGGGAACAAAUACUAGCUGUGAUUCAAAUGUAUUUGUGUAAACCUCUUUCAGGACAUGGAGGGCAGUUUGGUUUGUUAAUGUGAUUUAUGUUAAUGAGUUCUGUAUGUAAAAGUUCAAUUUGGAGCCCAUCUUCCAUAUUUGUAUAAAUGUUGACCACAUGUAGUGCCAAGAGGACCUAAAGUGGUGACUUUUCAUGAGUAUUACUCAAGUAAAGGCAUAGAAUGAAUUUUGUGAGUUUUCUUCUCGGGGAGGCGGGGGGGGAAAGCAAAAUUCAACAACCAAUCAGCAUUCGGUUUUUAAAGUGAGAUUAAUUUCAGGUACACUUCUGCAAACUGGUACACCUGUCUUCAGUUAAAGUAAUUAGUGGUGAUACAUAAAGAAUAAAAUGAUGGGAAACUCAACAUACAUGAAAGAAAGUCUCAUGAAGGUAACAAAUAUUGCCCCGGCCCAACAUUCACAGCACCUGUUCCAGAUGUUAUUCAGCUUUCCUUUUUGCCUUUCCUUUCCUGACACAGCACCUGUGCAGGCAGAAACUGCAGGUCUUGAUGAAGAUGAAUAUGAUGAGUAGAACCAUAGUGAGGACGAAGCCCAGGACAUCCAGGCUGUGAUACUGGUACCAGGUGAGCUCAUGGGCCUGGACCCUCAAGUGCUUGGCCCUUUGUUUCUCAGUGUGAACUCGAUCCAGAAUACUGCCUCUUCCAGAGCACUCAUGGGUCUGUCGUGGUGGAUGCUGGACAGCCGCAUAGCAUUUUCUUUGUACCUGUGAAUGCGUUUAUAAAUGAUGUUUACACAGGUCAUUAAAGUUCGGCUCAACAGGGCUUUCUUGUGUUAGCUGACUCCAAGGAAAAAUGGUUAAAGGUAGAUGCUUCACGUUUCAUACUCUGAGCCUGCUCCAUUUUUUCCUUUUUAAGCCUGUUUUCAGUGCCUAAUUCAAAGUGCACAUAGUUCAGAGAACUCACGAUUUAUCAUUGAUGACUGUGUUGAUUACGUCUCUAAGGUCCUCAGCUGUGAUGAAGUUCAAAUUGAGAAUAACUGCAGCUCCUUUUUCCUUCAUAUGGACCAUGUUGUCUGGCUGGUCACCAAACAUGGGUAUGCCCACCAUGGGAACCCCGUGGUAGAUGGCUUCAUAAAUCCCAUUUGUGCCUCCGUGAGUGAUGAAAGCUCUAGUUUUAGGGUGACCUAACAAAUAACCGUGUAAUACUGAAAGUUAGUUUUCACAUGUGAAAAACAAGAAUUUCAGUAACCCGGAAUAAGUGCUUUGAGCCAAGAUUGAUUUGCACGUUCUAAUACUUAUGUGCAUUCAACUAAUCUUUAGUGCAACAUCUUGGGGAAAAAGAACUAACCAGAGUAAUUUGCACAAGGAGCCAUAUAUGUAAUCAAGAUCACAUCUGUUAGGAAAGUAUAAUUUAUCAAUUUUCCUUGUGUCAAUAAACAGAAUGCUCACAACCUGCAUUUAACGUUCAAUGCACGUUUAAUGUAUGUUAUUGCACUUUAAGAAAGUCUGUGGUUGCUACCAAGUUUACAUACCCAGGAGGUCAUUCUGAGGGAUCCAGUCAUAUAUUCUAGUGUUGGCGCUCAAGGUUUCUGGUUUUUCUCCUCUGUACCUCCACAGCACCUAUAAAAGGUAACAUAUUUCUUAGCUUACAUGUUUUUUUUUCUGUGGUAGUAUACUUACAGCCCAACUUUAAGUAAUCUAUCACAAAGUAUUAUGGAAAAACUAGAGAAUACAUUUCCUAAAGAAAAUGCAGUGUGAAUGCUGAUAGUUUAAUGUUUUGAGCUGAAAUGUAAUGAUUGCUGAAUGUUAAGUUAAAAAUGUUGAAUGAGCUGAAGAAGAGAAUUUUUCACCUGAAAAUAAAAGUGCAAAACUGUUUGUGUGUGUGUUUGUCAGUGUAUGUCUCUGUGUGUGUGUGUGCCAGAGUAAAAAUAGAGAUAAAUGAGGUUAGAUGAGUUUAAGUGUGGG